ACACAUGCAGUCGAGCGAGGUAGCAAUACCUAGCGGCGGACGGGUGAGUAACGCGUGGGAACGUACCCUUUGCUACGGAAUAGCCUCGGGAAACUGAGAGUAAUACCGUAUGUGCCCUUUGGGGGAAAGAUUUAUCGGCAAAGGAUCGGCCCGCGUUGGAUUAGGUAGUUGGUGGGGUAAUGGCCUACCAAGCCGACGAUCCAUAGCUGGUUUGAGAGGAUGAUCAGCCACACUGGGACUGAGACACGGCCCAGACUCCUACGGGAGGCAGCAGUGGGGAAUCUUAGACAAUGGGGGAAACCCUGAUCUAGCCAUGCCGCGUGAGUGAUGAAGGCCUUAGGGUUGUAAAGCUCUUUCAGUGGGGAAGAUAAUGACGGUACCCACAGAAGAAGCCCCGGCUAACUCCGUGCCAGCAGCCGCGGUAAUACGGAGGGGGCUAGCGUUGUUCGGAAUUACUGGGCGUAAAGCGCACGUAGGCGGAUUGGAAAGUCAGAGGUGAAAUCCCAGGGCUCAACCUUGGAACUGCCUUUGAAACUAUCAGUCUGGAGUUCGAGAGAGGUGAGUGGAAUUCCGAGUGUAGAGGUGAAAUUCGUAGAUAUUCGGAGGAACACCAGUGGCGAAAGCGGCUCACUGGCUCGAUACUGACGCUGAGUGCGAAAGCGUGGGGAGCAAACAGGAUUA
RNAcentral lists this ribosomal RNA (681 nucleotides) under uncultured bacterium. Its description in RNAcentral is "bacterial SSU rRNA". It matches the Rfam family "Bacterial small subunit ribosomal RNA", at positions 51 to 780 of the family's 1533-position model. The record is from RNAcentral.